Molecule: long non-coding RNA, 867 nt
Organism: Hibiscus syriacus
Lineage: Eukaryota; Viridiplantae; Streptophyta; Magnoliopsida; Malvales; Malvaceae
Exons: 2
Source: RefSeq, a predicted model, not a curated record
CAAUAUUUGGAAAUCGGCUGAUGAAAUUGAAUCAGAAAACUUGCGAAAACAAUACAUGACACUGUGAUGAAAUCGUUAGAAAAAGGGAAGAAAAAGUAGUGACCGGAGAGGCAGAAAACUACUUUCUGGGAUUACUUGUAAAUGCCUAUCAUGAAUCGGACGAGAAAACAGGCUUUCGGAACAAGAUUUGGUAGAUGAAUGUAAAACUUUCUAUUUCGCCGGGCAUGAAACAACUAAUUCCUUGCUUGCAUGGACAUUCCUCCUCCUAGCAACCCACACAGAUGGCAAGACAAAGCACGAAAAGAGGUGUUGGAGGUAUUCGGUAAUCGAAACCGGAUUCGGAAGGGAUCGCCAAACUAAAAACUAUUACCAUGAUUAUCAAUGAAACUAAGACUUUACCCUUCUGUAAACGGAACUACGAAAAGUCGGAAGAGAAGUCCGAUUGGGAAAACUUGCCCUACCUACUCCUUUAGAGCUCGACAUCCGUAUCAUAGCACUUCACCAUGACCCUGACUUAUGGGGAAACGAUGUUCAUCUUUUCAAACCGGAGAGAUUCGCCGAAGGGAUUGCCAAGCUACAACUUCAAUGCAGCAGCUUUUCUUCCCUUCGGGUUGGGACCUCGAUCUUGCGUUGGAAUGAGCUUUGCAAUUACUGAAACAAAAUCGCUCUCUCCAUGAUUCUGCACGCUACAGUUUCACAUCUCCCUGCAUAUGUUCACUCACCAGUGCCCGUCUUGUACUCAAGCCAGAACAUGGACUUCAGUUGUUGUUUCAUUCACUACAUGGUGAUGCGUGAAACAAUCGGCUGCUGAUCUCCCAAAGAAUUAGCAUGUAAUAUAAUUAUCAAUAAACAAAAUGGUGUAGGAAC